UCUCUUUCUGUCAGUUGCCUGAGUUCUCGCUUUCACUCUCUCUGUCCCUCUCUCUCUCUCUCUCUCUCUCUCUAAUUUAUUGACCUUCUUACCAUCUACAUAUCACUUAUCUUGUUAUCAUCUCUUUUGUUGCGCACUUGGCUUGUGAUGUGGAUAAGACUGACGCCCUUUCGUUAUCAAUUUCACUAUGUGUAGAUAUUAUUUACUUUUUUUUGUGUGUUAGUGUUGAAAUGGGUGCUUGCACGCUUAAGAAUGUUUGUUCUUUUCUUUUCUUAAGAAAGAGAAUGUUUGUUCUUAAGCAGUUUGGAGGAGAAAAGCUCAGAUUUAAAUAUGUGGGUUUAUGAUAAAUAUAAAUUUAAAGUGUGUUUUAUUUGUGUUUUUUCUAGUGGAUCUAGGAAAAGCGCGAGUUUUGAUGAUCAGAAAUCCCCACCGGUACACAUUCUUCUCAAAGAUUACUUAAUUUAUUGAUCGUCUCUUUUGUCAUUUUUGUUUGAGGUCAUCCGAGUUUUGUCUUCCUUUUUUUUGUUUGUUUGUUCAAGUUUCUGCAUGUUGAAAUUUUCUGAUGAUCUUAACAGCUACAUGAUGCAAGUGAACCUCGGAUUAUGAAGCUAUUUUUUUCAUUCUUCUGUCUUCUUUCGUUUCAAACCAGAUGUGGCUUUCAGGUUUCAGAUUUUCAGUUGAUCUAUUUCAUGUAGAUAGUAGUUCUGUACCGUUUUAAUGAGAAUAUGAUUUUUUCUAACGAAUAAGUUUGCAAUGAAGCACUGAAUCCAGCUGUUUAAUUGUUCUUAAAACGUCUUCCGUAUACAAUUUACUUUUUGGUGUUAGGUUUAUACGGAUUAAUGCUAAUUGGUGCAUUGAAGUCCAUCUUCGAAUGUGAUCCUGCAGUGGGUGGAUGUGACUCGCUUAAAUUGAUUUCUUUGCUUGUAGUGAUCCAAAAUGAAAAGAUUGAACCCUAGACCUAAUACUUUUCCUUGCAAGUUUCUUCAUUUUUGCUUCCAACUUUGCUAGGAAAUUGAUUUAGUUGCUUGUUUUGCUAAUUUCUUCCAAGUCGAAAAUGUUAGUUUCUGUUGAAAUGCUUUAUCUUAUAUGGUACCAAAGGAGUUUUAAAAUGUUAGUUUAUACCGAAAUCGUUUAUUUUCUGCUGCCAAAGGCUUACAAACCGUUUUUUUUUUUACUGAAAUGAUUGGUAUAAUGAAAGUUUCGGAAUUUACAAUAUUUCAUCUCAUUUACUGAAAUGAUUGGUAUAAUCUUGUUGGUUUGAUUAGUUGUUAUGCUGGUCAAGCUUAAUCUUUGUCUUUUCAUGAUAUACUUUUAUCAAAAUCAAGUUCUUUGUAAUUGAGGCCCUAGUUUUGCAGUGAUUUUGUUUAGUCUUCGUUGAUUGCUAAAUGCAAUAUAACGAGUUUAACUUAUAUGUAUAAGUUCGUGUUUCCUCUCCAUAAUAUUGACUCUAUAGGUCCUUAGGUUGUACCUGUACUUGUGUGAGUGUGCUUCCCCUUGAAAUUCAUGAUUGAAGUCUGGAAAUAGAUAACAAUGGAGACAGAAAUGUUAGAAAUAAUAUAUUUAUCGUCUUAAAUGGUUGGUCUUAAGUUACCUGAUUGAUCAUAUCUCAUCAGAUGUUACUGGUACUUUGCUUGUUUGAUCUUUACCUUUGUUGUGCAAGCUUAUUCUUAAUGUCUUCGAAAAGGUUUUUGUCAACUGGAUGCCUGGUUUUGCAAUGAUUUUGUCUAGUUACAGCUACAAAAGGCACUAUAGUAACGGAGUUUAAGAAGCAGUGUAGCCUGUUUGGUUUCCAUGAACGAGUUUUUGUUUGAUUAUACUCGCAGUAUAUAUCGGUAAGACUUUGUCUUGUGUCUGAUGAAAUCAAAUUGUAAAUCUAGUUAAUUACCUGUUCUAGUGUUUCAAGUGUUUCACCCUGAAAUUGAUAAACAAAGUCGCAAAACAGUUAACCAAUAGAGAGGCAUAGAUUUUUCCGUGUACAUCUUCACUAAGUGUUAUAGUCAGAUUCUGUAAGCGGAUAGAGAGGUGAUUCUGUUCGUAAACAGUCUGAGAGAUUGUAACUACAUCUUGUCAGAUUAUCAUAUUUUCACAACCGGCGGUUGAAUGUAGAGGCAGAUCCAGAUCAUAUCUCUGAUAUAAAGAUGGUGCAUCACACAAUAUAAUUAAGCUAUACUGAUUGUAAAAUAGGUAAACUAAAACAAAAGAAAACCUGUUGUGCUAAGGGGAUUUAUUUGUAACUUGUAAGCUACUAGGCGACUAUAAAGAUACUCAUUGUGAGAAAAAAGUAAUGUCGAUUGCCUUAUUUGAUUGCAAGAGGAUGAGAUCAAUAUCAAGUGGGGAGAUGAUAACUCAAAUAUAUAUUAAUUUCAAGGUUGGAAGUGUAGCAACCAGGUAAAAUGAUUGAUGGUACUAUGGAAGUACUAGCCAAAAUUUCUAGAGUUUUUAACUUAUUGAUCGUGGAGAAACAUCACCUCAGUUUAAUUCCAUUUUGCAUUAUGUGUGCUUUCAUUGCCUGAUUACUCAAUUAUUAAAUCCAAAAUUCGCAAUAUAAGAGCUUAAGGUGGUAUAGACACUUUCAGUGGUUAUCUUACAUUAGGAGAUCCGGCAUGGCGGCAUGGCUCCAUGUUUGCUUUACCCGAAAUGCUCUCCUUUAGCAUCUAGUAAUUCUUCUUACUAUGAGUUUGAUUGAUUCAAAACAAGGUAUGGAUUUGUGUUCUUAAAGAGUUUA
This is a long non-coding RNA of Brassica oleracea var. oleracea, 2725 nucleotides long. RefSeq lists it as uncharacterized. The transcript has 2 exons. NCBI's taxonomy places the organism in Eukaryota, Viridiplantae, Streptophyta, Magnoliopsida, Brassicales, Brassicaceae. The record is from RefSeq and is a predicted model, not a curated record.